UACGAAGGGGGCUAGCGUUGCUCGGAAUUACUGGGCGUAAAGCGCACGUAGGCGGCUUUCUAAGUCGGGGGUGAAAUCCUGGAGCUCAAUUCCAGAACUGCCUUCGAUACUGGAAGACUUGAGUCCGGGAGAGGUGAGUGGAACUGCGAGUGUAGAGGUGAAAUUCGUAGAUAUCCGCAAGAACACCAGUGGCGAAGGCGGCUCACUGGCCCGGUACUGACGCUGAGGUGCGAAAGCGUGGGGAGCAAACAGG
RNAcentral lists this ribosomal RNA (253 nucleotides) under uncultured bacterium. Its description in RNAcentral is "partial 16S ribosomal RNA". It matches the Rfam family "Bacterial small subunit ribosomal RNA", at positions 524 to 776 of the family's 1533-position model. The record is from RNAcentral.